GACGAACGCUGGCGGCGUGCUUAACACAUGCAAGUCGAGCGGUAAGGCCCUUUCGGGGGUACGACGAGCGGCGAACGGGUGGAGUAACACGUGGGUGACCUCGCCCUCCAGCUCUGGGAGUAAGCCUGGGAAACGUAGGGUCGUAAUACUGGAUAUGACUCCACGGUGCAUGUCGUGGGGUGGAAAGCCUUGUGCGGCUGAGGAUGGGCCCGGCCGGCCUAUCAGCUUGUUGGUGGGGUGAUGGCCUACCAAGGCGACGACGGGUAGCCGGCCUGAGAGGGCGGACCGGCCACAC
RNAcentral lists this ribosomal RNA (295 nucleotides) under uncultured bacterium. RNAcentral describes it as "partial 16S ribosomal RNA". It matches the Rfam family "Bacterial small subunit ribosomal RNA", at positions 28 to 313 of the family's 1533-position model. The record is from RNAcentral.